AAGUCGUAACAAGGUUUCCGUAGGUGAACCUGCGGAAGGAUCAUUAAUAAAUUUUAUAUUUUAAGGCUUUUUCUGUUUUACAGUCAAGCCUGAAAUACAAUUUGCUGUGUUUGGUUCUUUAUUUAAAAAGGCCUAACACGUUCAAGCAAACAUACUUUGUGUGCACUGUAUAAAUAAAUUCUCUUCUUCUGACGGAGAAAGUCCAAAGACUGGCUGUUUAACAACAGAUAGGCAUUUUUUUGCUGAAUGGUGCAAAACGGUCAGCGCCGUCAGAAGGUUAAAAUUAACAAACUCGUUGUAUCUCAAUUGUCUGAAGUCAUCUUUUAAUAAAGAUACAAAUUAAAAUACAACUUUUAACAACGGAUCUCUUGGCUCUC
Molecule: unclassified non-coding RNA, 377 nt
Filed under: fungal sp.
Lineage: Eukaryota; Fungi
Also listed under: 1 other name
Description: partial internal transcribed spacer region
Rfam family: Eukaryotic small subunit ribosomal RNA (bases 1-46)
Source: RNAcentral